RNAcentral lists this long non-coding RNA (735 nucleotides) under Pan troglodytes (chimpanzee). Its description in RNAcentral is "lincRNA". Lineage: Eukaryota; Metazoa; Chordata; Mammalia; Primates; Hominidae. The record is from RNAcentral.
AAGUAUUUGUUUUCAGGCAAAAGCAAGCCUCCAAAAGCCCCUUGGUUCUUCUCUAUGUGUCUCGCCCCUUCUGCCUUGUACACCAGACUGCCGGCAAGCAAGCGGGGAGGUAGAGAACAGCUGGGAUCCUCCAGUGAAAAGGUUGCUCAGCGCGAGAGAUGUCAAGAGGCUGGGAUUGUCGCCCAUCGGGAGAAGAAUUCCACAGAUGAAUUGGUUCUGCCCUGUAUCUUUGAAUGGUUUUUAUUUUCUGAUGUCCAGUGUGGCAGCCUGGCAGAGACAUUUAGUUGAAAGAACACGGGGCUCUGGAAACAACCAGUCCUCCUUGGUUCAUAUUCUCGUGUUGUCACUUAUUAACCGAGUGACAUUGGAGGUGAUAUGCUGCAGUUUAUCACUGAGGUCCUGAGAUGGUCCAUACUCUAAGCUUUGUGUCUACUGUAGGGGGCAAAGGGAAAACUUCCCCCUUGCUCUCUGAAGAGUCAUUGAAAAUCAACUGACAAAAGAAUCUAAAACAUACCUGGAAAUGGAGAGUCCUGACAUGAUGGCCCCAUGAUGAAAAGAACCCAGGUUCCUGAGUCACCACGUGGACACAAGGCACCAAGGAGAAAACACGUGAACCUUAAUAAGUUUGGGGGUACACCUCCUUGCCAUGUGUUACCUUCUGUCCUGUUAUGAUGCAGCAAGAAGGCCCUAACCAGUGGUAGUCCCUCAGUCCUGGACUUCUCAGCCUCCAGAACU